CGGGGUGUAGCUCAGUUGGUCAGAGUUCCAGUCUGGGGGACUGGCGGUCAGCGGUUCGAGUCCGCUCACCCCGA
This 74-nucleotide transfer RNA is filed under the name Chloroflexota bacterium. RNAcentral describes it as "Chloroflexi bacterium tRNA-Pro". It matches the Rfam family "tRNA". Rfam says of the family: Transfer RNA (tRNA) molecules are approximately 80 nucleotides in length. Their secondary structure includes four short double-helical elements and three loops (D, anti-codon, and T loops). Further hydrogen bonds mediate the characteristic L-shaped molecular structure. tRNAs have two regions of fundamental functional importance: the anti-codon, which is responsible for specific mRNA codon recognition, and the 3' end, to which the tRNAs corresponding amino acid is attached (by aminoacyl-tRNA synthetases). tRNAs cope with the degeneracy of the genetic code in two manners: having more than one tRNA (with a specific anti-codon) for a particular amino acid; and 'wobble' base-pairing, i.e. permitting non-standard base-pairing at the 3rd anti-codon position. The record is from RNAcentral. RNAcentral also lists the same sequence under 1 other name. Lineage: Bacteria; Bacillati; Chloroflexota.